This 110-nucleotide ribosomal RNA is filed under the name Castor canadensis (American beaver). The record is from RNAcentral. Lineage: Eukaryota; Metazoa; Chordata; Mammalia; Rodentia; Castoridae.
UCUUCAUACCACCCUGAACGUGUCUAAUCUCAUCUGGUCUCAGAAACUAAACAGGGUCGGGCCUGGUUAGUACUUGGGAGAAAGAUCUUCAGAAGAGACUGCCCAGAGAC